UACGGAGGGUGCGAGCGUUGUCCGGAAUCACUGGGCGUAAAGGGCGCGUAGGCGGCGCGAUAAGGCGGCGGUGAAAGUCCGGGGCUCAACCCCGGAUCGGCCGUGGCGACUGUCGCGCUGGAGCACAGUAGAGGCGGGUGGAAUUCCGGGUGUAGCGGUGGAAUGCGUAGAGAUCCGGAAGAACACCGGUGGCGAAGGCGGCCCGCUGGGCUGACACUGACGCUGAGGCGCGAAAGCUAGGGGAGCGAACGGG
RNAcentral lists this ribosomal RNA (253 nucleotides) under uncultured bacterium. RNAcentral describes it as "partial 16S ribosomal RNA". It matches the Rfam family "Bacterial small subunit ribosomal RNA", at positions 524 to 776 of the family's 1533-position model. The record is from RNAcentral.